This 468-nucleotide ribosomal RNA is filed under the name uncultured bacterium. RNAcentral describes it as "partial 16S ribosomal RNA". It matches the Rfam family "Bacterial small subunit ribosomal RNA", at positions 28 to 507 of the family's 1533-position model. The record is from RNAcentral.
GACGAACGCUGGCGGCGUGCUUAACACAUGCAAGUCGAACGGCAAGGCCCUUCUUUUUUGGUGUUCUCGAUUGGCAAACGGGUGAGUAACACGUGAGUAACCUGCCCUUUACUUUGGUAUAACUUCAGGAAACUGGGCCUACUACCGGAUAGGAUCUCCUGUUGCAUGGUGAGGGUUGGAACGUUUCGGCGGUUGGGGAUGGACUCGCGGCUUUUCAGCUUGUUGGUGGGGUAGUGGCUUACCAAGGCUUUGACGGGUAGCCAGCCUGUGAGGGUGACCGGCCACAUUGGGACUGAGAGACGGACCAGACUCCUACGGGAGGCAGCAGUGGGGAAUAUUGCACAAUGGGCGGAAGUCGGAUGAAGAAACGCCGCGGGCGGGAUGACGGCUUUCGGGGUGUAAACCGCUGUCGCCUGUGACGAAGCGUGAGUGACGGUAAUGGGUAAAGAAGCACCGGCUAACUACGUG